This 481-nucleotide ribosomal RNA is filed under the name uncultured bacterium. Its description in RNAcentral is "partial 16S ribosomal RNA". It matches the Rfam family "Bacterial small subunit ribosomal RNA", at positions 28 to 501 of the family's 1533-position model. The record is from RNAcentral.
GACGAACGCUGGCGGCGUGCUUAACACAUGCAAGUCGAACGAUGAAGCCGGAGCAUGCUCUGGUGAAUUAGUGGCGAACGGGUGAGUAACACGUGAGUAACCGGCCCUUGACUCUGGGAUCACUGCGGGAAACUGUAGCUAAUACCGGAUACGACCAUCGGAGCAAUCUCCUGGGGGUGGAAAGAAUUUCGGUCAAGGAUGGACUCGCGGCCUAUCAGCUAGUUGGUGAGGUAAAGGCUCACCAAGGCGACGACGGGUAGCCGGCCUGAGAGGGUGACCGGCCACACUGGGACUGAGACACGGCCCAGACUCCUACGGGAGGCAGCAGUGGGGAAUUUUGGACAAUGGGGGCAACCCUGAUCCAGCAAUGCCGCGUGAGUGAAGAAGGCCUUCGGGUUGUAAAGCUCUUUUGUCAGGGAAGAAACAGCAGCUCUAACACAGUCUGCGAAUGACGGUACCUGAAGAAUAAGCACCGGCUAAC